RNAcentral lists this ribosomal RNA (223 nucleotides) under uncultured bacterium. RNAcentral describes it as "partial 16S ribosomal RNA". It matches the Rfam family "Bacterial small subunit ribosomal RNA", at positions 524 to 744 of the family's 1533-position model. The record is from RNAcentral.
UACGUAGGGUGCAAGCGUUAAUCGGAAUUACUGGGCGUAAAGCGUGCGCAGGCGGUUAUGUAAGACAGGUGUGAAAUCCCAGGGCUUAACCUUGGAACUGCAUUUGUGACUGCAUAGCUAGAGUACGGUAGAGGGGGAUGGAAUUCCGCGUGUAGCAGUGAAAUGCGUAGAUAUGCGGGAGGAACACCGAUGGCGAAGGCAAUCCCCCUGGACCUGUACUGAC